Molecule: long non-coding RNA, 1233 nt
Filed under: Equus caballus (horse)
Lineage: Eukaryota; Metazoa; Chordata; Mammalia; Perissodactyla; Equidae
Description: lncRNA (ENSECAG00000045140.1)
Source: RNAcentral
GCCAAAGUUGAGAAAUACUGGUUUAGUGGGAGACAGAGAUGGGUUAACAAAUCGCUCCAACACAAGGCUCCAACACAGGGUGCUCUAAUAGAGAAGGGGACAAGCCUCUCUGGGAACACAGGGAAGCAUGUGACUCCUUGAAUAGACAAGGGUCAUCAGAGACUGCGCAAAAAAGAUGAUACGUGAGCAGAGUCUUAGAAGAUGAGGGCAGCUUGCCAGUCUCAAGAAGAAUUCCUCCUUCUUCAAGAAACCUCAGGCUUUGUUCUCAAGGUCUUCAACUAAAUUAUGAGGCCCCCUCACAUGAUGGAAGGAAAGAAAACUUCUUCAGAUCUGCCAGAGAUGGAAGAAUGAUAUUCUCUGGCAUGGAAGAAAAAUAUUCAACUACUUCCUUAGCCGGUAUGUUGCAAGAGAAUGAAACAGGGUGGUCUACACCAUGUGCCGACAGAAGUGAGGAGUUUGUUUUCUGAAUCUCUAAUGUCCUGCUAUCGAAGACCGAUUACAGAGGGUUUUCUUCAUUGACCAUUAGGGCACUUUCCACUGAAAAUGGUAAACAAUAUUACAAACUAAAAAAAAGAAGUAAUCUGAUUUCUGGGAAGAGGGAGCCCAGUGAAAGAUGUGUGCUUUUAUAAGGAUGGACAAUGGAAAGCAAAAUAAUAACUCCUAACUUUGAUUGUUCAAAUAUAUUCUGCAAUACGGAGAGCUGCAUGCAGGCUGGAGCAGGCAUGGGGCAGGAAGGUUAAGUAGAAGAGAAGGCACAAUACUUCAGAUUGGCAGUAGACUGCAGCAAGAAUAAUCUAAUCAAAACAAAAUUAAAUUAUCUAGUCCCAGGGCAGGCUCCUGGGGCUGCUGCAUUGAAUGCUAGCAGAGCUCCUCCUAGACAUUUUUCCCCAGUCAAACUCACAUGAUGAAUGCAGAUGAAAUUUGAAAUAUGAAAAUCUGAAAUAAUUUAUGGAAGUUGUCAGAAAUUUGGCCUGCUUGUGGUGUAAUUUCCUCUGAGACGAGGCAGGCCGGCUCACUGCUGCAAGACUUGGAGCGGCUGCCGGCCUUCCAGUGGAUGGAUCAACCCCUUUAAAAUGCUCUUCCAGACAAAUUACAGCUCAUUACACACAGCCUUGCACCAUGCCAUUAUGUCAGAGGAAAUCUUUUUUCAUUUGCACAAAUUUGCUUGGAAUUCUCAUAUUUAUUUGAGCAUCCAUUAUCGAAUCCGAACAUUGAAUUAUCCACAAUUAUUUU